Molecule: small nuclear RNA, 23 nt
Filed under: Arabidopsis thaliana (thale cress)
Lineage: Eukaryota; Viridiplantae; Streptophyta; Magnoliopsida; Brassicales; Brassicaceae
Description: snRNA_10102
Source: RNAcentral
UCCACCUGUUGAAGGUGCAUCCG